Paramuricea clavata is the source of this 524-nucleotide non-coding RNA. NCBI's taxonomy places the organism in Eukaryota, Metazoa, Cnidaria, Anthozoa, Malacalcyonacea, Plexauridae. The record is from the annotation of a GenBank genome assembly.
AGAAGUAAUCACCCCCCUGAACAUGCACCAUUUUGAGUAUUUCCUGGGGGACUGCUUCUGUUUAUGGUACUUGCUGAGUAACGAAUCAUGAGGAAUAGCUCUUAUGCCAAAAACAAUGCAGAUGAACUUGUAGUAUUCUGUGACAUAGGCUAGUCGUAUGCCUGGAUGCACUGCAAAGUUUUAUGCAGUUCAAGUUGUUUACUGUAGUAUAUGCAAGACCCUGUUUACACAGUACCAGACGAAUUGGGAACCAGACUGAAAUUUGUUCGUUUUGGCCGCCCAUUUACACAAGAACCACAGGACCGGAUGAACUUAAGGUCUACCCCCCAACCGGACAAAUUUGCGUGUAAACAGGCACAAAAGGACGAAUUUCAGUCUGGUCGCAAAUUUGUGCGGCAUCAUGUAAACGUGGGUCUAAAUCGGCUUUUAUGAGGCCUAGAUCGAGACAGGCAUAUUACACAAUGUGUUUACAAAAUACAGAAAUUACAUUACAAAAAAAUUGAAAUACAUUACAAAAUACAGAA